This 492-nucleotide ribosomal RNA is filed under the name uncultured bacterium. RNAcentral describes it as "partial 16S ribosomal RNA". It matches the Rfam family "Bacterial small subunit ribosomal RNA", at positions 29 to 507 of the family's 1533-position model. The record is from RNAcentral.
AGUGAACGCUGGCGGUAGGCCUAACACAUGCAAGUCGAACGGCAGCACAGUAAGAGCUUGCUCUUACGGGUGGCGAGUGGCGGACGGGUGAGGAAUACAUCGGAAUCUACUUUUUCGUGGGGGAUAACGUAGGGAAACUUACGCUAAUACCUCAUACGACCUACGGGUGAAAGCAGGGGAUCUUCGGACCUUGCGCGAUUGAAUGAGCCGAUGUCGGAUUAGCUAGUUGGCGGGGUAAAGGCCCACCAAGGCAACAAUCCGUAGCUGGUCUGAGAGGAUGAUCAGCCACACUGGAACUGAGACACGGUCCAGACUCCUACGGGAGGCAGCAGUGGGGAAUAUUGGACAAUGGGCGCAAGCCUGAUCCAGCCAUACCGCGUGGGUGAAGAAGGCCUUCGGGUUGUAAAGCCCUUUUGUUGGGAAAGAAAAGCAGCAGGUUAAUACCCCGCUGUUCUGACGGUACCCAAAGAAUAAGCACCGGCUAACUUCGUG